This 418-nucleotide ribosomal RNA is filed under the name uncultured bacterium. RNAcentral describes it as "bacterial SSU rRNA". It matches the Rfam family "Bacterial small subunit ribosomal RNA", at positions 356 to 787 of the family's 1533-position model. The record is from RNAcentral.
UGGGGAUAUUGCACAAUGGGGGAAACCCGUAGCAUGCAGCGACGCCGCGUGAAGGAAGAAGGCCUUCGGGUUGUAAACUUCUGUCGUACGGGACGAUAAUGACGGUACCGUACAAGAAAGCCACGGCUAACUACGUGCCAGCAGCCGCGGUAAAACGUAGGUGGCAAGCGUUGUCCGGAUUUACUGGGUGUAAAGGGAGCGUAGACGGAGAGGCAAGUCUGGAGUGAAAACCCGGGGCUCAACCCCGGGACUGCUUUGGAAACUGUUUUUUCUAGAGUGUCGGAGAGGUAAGUGGAAUUCCUAGUGUAGCGGUGAAAUGCGUAGAUAUUAGGAGGAACACCAGUGGCGAAGGCGGCUUACUGGACGAUGACUGACGUUGAGGCUCGAAAGCGUGGGGAGCAAACAGGAUUAGAUACCC